UGCCCCAUGGCUGAGUUGGUUACAGCGUCCGACUGUUACAAGAGAGACUUGAACUCUCUAUAUCAAAAUCGGAAGGUCGUGAGUUCGAGCCUCACUGGGGCAG
This 103-nucleotide transfer RNA is filed under the name Wolfiporia cocos MD-104 SS10. Its description in RNAcentral is "tRNA-Asn". It matches the Rfam family "tRNA". Rfam says of the family: Transfer RNA (tRNA) molecules are approximately 80 nucleotides in length. Their secondary structure includes four short double-helical elements and three loops (D, anti-codon, and T loops). The record is from RNAcentral. Lineage: Eukaryota; Fungi; Basidiomycota; Agaricomycetes; Polyporales; Phaeolaceae.